This 301-nucleotide ribosomal RNA is filed under the name uncultured bacterium. Its description in RNAcentral is "bacterial SSU rRNA". It matches the Rfam family "Bacterial small subunit ribosomal RNA", at positions 509 to 809 of the family's 1533-position model. The record is from RNAcentral.
CAGCAGCCGCGGUAAUACGAAGGUGGCAAGCGUUGUUCGGAUUUACUGGGCGUACAGGGAGCGUAGGCGGUUGGGUAAGCCCUCCGUGAAAUCUCCGGGCCUAACCCGGAAAGUGCGGAGGGGACUGCUCGGCUAGAGGAUGGGAGAGGAGCGCGGAAUUCCCGGUGUAGCGGUGAAAUGCGUAGAGAUCGGGAGGAAGGCCGGUGGCGAAGGCGGCGCUCUGGAACAUUUCUGACGCUGAGGCUCGAAAGCGUGGGGAGCAAACAGGAUUAGAUACCCUGGUAGUCCACGCCUUAAACGG